AUUGAACGCUGGCGGCACGCUUAACACAUGCAAGUCGAACGGUAGCAGCAUCGAGUUUCUAGCUUGCUAGAAACAUGAUGGCUGACGAGUGGCGGACGGGUGAGUAACACGUAGGAAUCUACCUUAAAGCGGGGGACAACUCGAGGAAACUCGAGCUAAUACCGCAUACCUUCUUCGGAAGAAAGCUGGGGACCCUUCGGGGCCUGGUGCUUUAAGAUGAGCCUGCGCCGGAUUAGCUUGUUGGGGUGGUAAAAGCACACCAAGGCAACGAUCCGUAGCUGGUCUGAGAGGACGAACAGCCACACUGGGACUGAGACACGGCCCAG
RNAcentral lists this ribosomal RNA (326 nucleotides) under uncultured bacterium. RNAcentral describes it as "bacterial SSU rRNA". It matches the Rfam family "Bacterial small subunit ribosomal RNA", at positions 30 to 334 of the family's 1533-position model. The record is from RNAcentral.